Molecule: long non-coding RNA, 776 nt
Organism: Tympanuchus pallidicinctus (lesser prairie-chicken)
Lineage: Eukaryota; Metazoa; Chordata; Aves; Galliformes; Phasianidae
Exons: 3
Source: RefSeq, a predicted model, not a curated record
AAUGGGAAACUGUGGAGUGGGACAGUGGAGAAUUGGUGGAGUCUGUGCCUUGUCCAUGCCAAACAUCAGAAUUGAGCUGGAGGAUGAGGGAUGAGGAAGAUAACUUAUUGCUCAGAUUUUACAUCCCAGUGAUUUGAGAAGUUGCAUUCAAAACAUGAGACUUAUGCUCCUCCUAGAACACAAUUUUUGUCAAUGUUGUUUCAAGAAAAAAUGACCAGUUGCUCCAUCUGUCAGUAAGCCUUUUCCAAGGAGAAGGAAAUAUCAACACUCAACACAAAAUGAGAUUGCCCUUUGAAAGCAAAAAGACUUAGAGGCACAAAGCUCAUUAUGCGUAACAGACCACGUUGUCCAUCAUAACAAAGGGCUAAAAAAGUGAAGACAAACCAGCACAUACAAGAAGAUCGUAGGACAAUGUCAGUUACAUAGGCUUGUCUCCUGCAGACUGGGAGAUGAAUCAUCAUCAGUGGUUUUGGGGAAGAUAUUUAGACGUUAUAGCAAAGAGGUGAGUUUAGGGUGAGUAUGGAGAAGUUAUGCACAUUUAUAUGGAGCUCCGUGUAGGUUUGAACAGAAGCAUUUUUUAUCAAAUAAGCAGAUGGGCAGUAUGUGGACUAAUUAAAGCUUGAAACUUUUUCCUGCGUAAUAAAUGAAAAAAAAAAAAAAGAUUCAUAGAAUUAGAAUAGUUGUCAAUGAUUUGACAGCUAUUGAAAAGUGAUUUUUUCGUGUGUUUGUUUAUUGUGAGGGGAACUGUCAAAAAUGCAAAGAGCUGUGUGAGCUAA